UACGUAGGGGGCUAGCGUUGUCCGGAUUUAUUGGGCGUAAAGAGCGUGUAGGCGGCCAGGUAGGUCUGCUGUGAAAACUCGAGGCUCAACCUCGAGACGUCGGCGGAAACCAUCUGGCUAGAGUCCGGAAGAGGAGAGUGGAAUUCCUGGUGUAGCGGUGAAAUGCGCAGAUAUCAGGAAGAACACCCGUGGCUAAGGCGGCUCUCUAGUACGUGACUGACGCUGAGACGCGAAAGCGUGGGGAGCGAACAGG
RNAcentral lists this ribosomal RNA (253 nucleotides) under uncultured bacterium. RNAcentral's name for it is "partial 16S ribosomal RNA". It matches the Rfam family "Bacterial small subunit ribosomal RNA", at positions 524 to 776 of the family's 1533-position model. The record is from RNAcentral.